Ciona intestinalis (vase tunicate) is the source of this 51-nucleotide microRNA precursor. The record is from Ensembl. Lineage: Eukaryota; Metazoa; Chordata; Ascidiacea; Phlebobranchia; Cionidae.
CACGGUUCAGCUGCAUCAGGCUUACCAACGCCCGGAUGCAGCCGUGCUGGU